UCCGCAGGCGGGCUUGUAAGUCAGUGGUGAAAUCUUGCCGCUUAACGGUAAAACUGCCAUUGAUACUGCAAGUCUUGAAUAUGGUUGAGGUAGGCGGAAUGUGUUGUGUAGCGGUGAAAUGCAUAGAUAUGACACAGAACGCCGAUUGCGAAGGCAGCUUACUAAGCCAUUAUUGACGCUGAGGCACGAAAGCGUGGGGAGCGAACAGGAUUAGAUACCCUGGUAGUC
RNAcentral lists this ribosomal RNA (228 nucleotides) under uncultured bacterium. RNAcentral's name for it is "partial 16S ribosomal RNA". It matches the Rfam family "Bacterial small subunit ribosomal RNA", at positions 568 to 795 of the family's 1533-position model. The record is from RNAcentral.